CUGGUUUCUAGUGGCGGACGGGUGAGUAACGCGUGGGUAACCUGCCUUAUACAGGGGGAUAACAACCAGAAAUGGUUGCUAAUACCGCAUAAGCGCACAGGACCGCAUGGUCCGGUGUGAAAAACUCCGGUGGUAUAAGAUGGACCCGCGUUGGAUUAGCUAGUUGGCAGGGUAACGGCCUACCAAGGCGACGAUCCAUAGCCGGCCUGAGAGGGUGAACGGCCACAUUGGGACUGAGACACGGCCAA
RNAcentral lists this ribosomal RNA (248 nucleotides) under uncultured bacterium. Its description in RNAcentral is "partial 16S ribosomal RNA". It matches the Rfam family "Bacterial small subunit ribosomal RNA", at positions 85 to 333 of the family's 1533-position model. The record is from RNAcentral.